GAUGAACGCUGGCGGCGUGCCUAAUACAUGCAAGUCGAGCGAACAGACGAGGAGCUUGCUCCUCUGACGUUAGCGGCGGACGGGUGAGUAACACGUGGAUAACCUACCUAUAAGACUGGGAUAACUUCGGGAAACCGGAGCUAAUACCGGAUAAUAUAUUGAACCGCAUGGUUCAAUAGUGAAAGACGGUUUUGCUGUCACUUAUAGAUGGAUCCGCGCCGCAUUAGCUAGUUGGUAAGGUAACGGCUUACCACGGCAACGAUGCGUAGCCGACCUGAGAGGGUGAUCGGCCACACGGGAACUGAGACACGGUCCAGACUCCUACGGGAGGCAGCAGUAGGGAAUCUUCCGCAAUGGGCGAAAGCCUGACGGAGCAACGCCGCGUGAGUGAUGAAGGUCUUCGGAUCGUAAAACUCUGUUAUUAGGGAAGAACAAAUGUGUAAGUAACUAUGCACGUCUUGACGGUACCUAAUCAGAAAGCCACGGCUAACUACGUG
RNAcentral lists this ribosomal RNA (497 nucleotides) under uncultured bacterium. Its description in RNAcentral is "partial 16S ribosomal RNA". It matches the Rfam family "Bacterial small subunit ribosomal RNA", at positions 28 to 507 of the family's 1533-position model. The record is from RNAcentral.